CACGUAGGGGGCAAGCGUUGUCCGGAUUUAUUGGGCGUAAAGAGCGUGUAGGCGGUCCGGUAAGUCAGCUGUGAAAGUCAAGGGCUCAACCCUUGAAUGCCGGUUGAUACUGUCGGGCUAGAGUCCGGAAGAGGCGAGUGGAAUUCCCGGUGUAGCGGUGAAAUGCGCAGAUAUCGGGAGGAACACCAAUGGCGAAGGCAGCUCGCUGGGACGGUACUGACGCUGAGACGCGAAAGCGUGGGGAGCAAACAGG
RNAcentral lists this ribosomal RNA (253 nucleotides) under uncultured bacterium. RNAcentral's name for it is "partial 16S ribosomal RNA". It matches the Rfam family "Bacterial small subunit ribosomal RNA", at positions 524 to 776 of the family's 1533-position model. The record is from RNAcentral.